This 230-nucleotide long non-coding RNA is filed under the name Ananas comosus (pineapple). RNAcentral's name for it is "long non-coding RNA (ACOM_LNC030283)". The record is from RNAcentral. Lineage: Eukaryota; Viridiplantae; Streptophyta; Magnoliopsida; Poales; Bromeliaceae.
CGCCCACGGACGGCCGCACCACGCUCCCUCGGCCUUCGGCGAUCGACCGCCAUCGCCUCGGCGCUCCCCCGGCCGCCGCCUGUCGAGCAAACCUGCACAGGCUCGUCCCGCUCCACCGCGCCUCUGGCCGCCUCCGGCCGCCGGCCAGCGCAUGCCCGGGCCCCCCUUUGACCGGCCAUAACCCUCACCUACCAGCGCGUCUGCCGUCCGGCCGCCGCCGGCCAUCACGU